This 235-nucleotide ribosomal RNA is filed under the name uncultured bacterium. RNAcentral's name for it is "partial 16S ribosomal RNA". It matches the Rfam family "Bacterial small subunit ribosomal RNA", at positions 96 to 334 of the family's 1533-position model. The record is from RNAcentral.
UGGCGGACGGGUGAGUAAUGUCUGGGAAACUGCCUGAUGGAGGGGGAUAACUACUGGAAACGGUAGUUAAUACCGCAUAACGUCGCAAGACCAAAGAGGGGGACCUUCGGGCCUCUUGCCAUCGGAUGUGCCCAGAUGGGAUUAGCUAGUAGGUGGGGUAACGGCUCACCUAGGCGACGAUCCCUAGCUGGUCUGAGAGGAUGACCAGCCACACUGGAACUGAGACACGGUCCAG